CUUGGUCAUUUAGAGGAAGUAAAAGUCGUAACAAGGUUUCCGUAGGUGAACCUGCGGAAGGAUCAUUAGUGAAUAUUAGGGCGUCUACUUGUAGAGCCUGACCUCCACUUUCUAACUCUGUGCACUUAUUUGGCGGAAAAAGGGAAUAGUGAUUGUCUAACGACGAUUAUGAAUGCCUUAUUUCUGCGGCUUACUUUAAACACUAGUCAAAGUAUGUAACGAAAUAUCGAAAUAUAAAAAAAACUUUCAACAACGGAUCUCUUGGCUCUCGCAUCGAUGAAGAACGCAGCGAAAUGUGAUAAGUAAUGUGAAUUGCAGAAUUCAGUGAAUCAUCGAAUCUUUGAACGCACCUUGCGCUCCCUAGUAUUCUGGGGAGCAUGUCUGUUUGAGUGUCAUGAACUCUUCAACCCACCAGUUUCUUGUAGACUGGCUGGUGUUUGGAUUUUGAACGUUGCUGGUCUUCGGACGUAGCUCGUUCGUAAUACAUUAGCAUCUCUAAUUCGAAUUCGGAUUGACUCAGUGUAAUAGACUAUUCGCUGAGGACACUUUUAUUAGUGGCCGAACAAGAUAAUUGUAGAAGCUUCAAACCUCUACAGUCAAUUUUAGAUUAGACCUCAAAUCAGGCAGGAUUACCCGCUGAACUUAAGCAUAUCAAUAAGCGGAGGA
RNAcentral lists this ribosomal RNA (666 nucleotides) under uncultured Basidiomycota. RNAcentral's name for it is "eukaryotic LSU rRNA". The stretch from base 242 to 395 matches the Rfam family "5.8S ribosomal RNA". Lineage: Eukaryota; Fungi; Basidiomycota. The record is from RNAcentral.